GAAAUGCGAUACGCAAUGCGAAUUGCAGAACCGUGAGUCAUCAGAUUUUUGAACGCAAGUGGCGGUAGUUUCGGCUAUCAUGUUUGUUUCAGUGUGCCCGGUUAAUUACAUCAUAGAAUUUAAUGUGAUUGAAGUUAAUUCUCUCACUUAAUACGGAGUAAUGUCAGUUUAUCACAUUAAACGAAGUAGUCACUAAACGGUGAUAAUCGUUGAAAUGUUGAAAAUUGGUGAAUCAUUAUUCGAAGAAAUUCUUAUCCAAUUAUGACACCUGAAAUAAGCAAGAAUACCCGCUGAACUUAA
This 300-nucleotide unclassified non-coding RNA is filed under the name uncultured fungus. RNAcentral's name for it is "sequence contains ITS1". The stretch from base 1 to 97 matches the Rfam family "5.8S ribosomal RNA", at positions 50 to 154 of the family's 154-position model. The record is from RNAcentral. Lineage: Eukaryota; Fungi.